UAUGUGAUCGUCUCUUGCAUAUCAAUAAGCGGAGGAAAAGAAACUAACAAGGAUUCCCCUAGUAACGGCGAGUGAAGCGGGAAGAGCUCAAAUUUGAAAUCUUAAAGGGUUUCCCUUUACGAAUUGUAGUUUAAAGAAGUGUUUUCUGUUGAGGUUUUGGUAAAAGUUCUUUGGAAUAGGACAUCAUAGAGGGUGAGAAUCCCGUAUUUGACCUUUACUUUCAACUUUGUGAUACACUUUCAAAGAGUCGGAUUGUUUGGGAAUGCAGUCCAAAAUGGGUGGUAAAUUUCAUCUAAAGCUAAAUAUUGGCGAGAGACCGAUAGCGAACAAGUACCGUGAGGGAAAGAUGAAAAGAACUUUGAAAAGAGAGUUAAACAGUACGUGAAAUUGUCAAAAGGGAAGCGUUUGACACCAGUGUUGUUUUUCUGAAAAUCAAUUAAAGAACUGUUUAUGCUAAGCUGUUUAGACUUUAUCAGCUAUCUGUUUAGUUUUGAGCUUUUCUUUAAUGCACUUUUCAGUUAACAAGUCAACAUCAAUUUCUUUUGCUGUAAAAAAGCUUGAGGAAGGUGGCUUGAGAUUCGUCUUAAGUGUUUAUAGCCUCUUGCCUAUGCAGUCGGAGAGAUUGAGGUCUGCAGCGUAGAUCCUUCGGGGCUAAAUGCAUUUGUGCUAAGUUAUAGCAUUUUAUAGACAACUUGUUGACUAUGAUUUGUCUUGUAGCUUACUCGCUUAUGUUAUUUUACCUACGCUUAGGAUGUUGAGUAGCGACAUACGCAC
This 774-nucleotide ribosomal RNA is filed under the name uncultured Neocallimastigales. RNAcentral's name for it is "partial large subunit ribosomal RNA". It matches the Rfam family "Eukaryotic large subunit ribosomal RNA", at positions 23 to 649 of the family's 3401-position model. The record is from RNAcentral. Lineage: Eukaryota; Fungi; Neocallimastigomycota; Neocallimastigomycetes; Neocallimastigales.